RNAcentral lists this ribosomal RNA (531 nucleotides) under uncultured bacterium. Its description in RNAcentral is "bacterial SSU rRNA". It matches the Rfam family "Bacterial small subunit ribosomal RNA", at positions 24 to 542 of the family's 1533-position model. The record is from RNAcentral.
UCAGGAUGAACGCUGGCGGCGUGCCUAACACAUGCAAGUCGAACGGAGCGCCCGGACGGAGUAUUUCGGUACAAAGACCGGGUGGCUGAGUGGCGGACGGGUGAGUAACGCGUGGACAACCUGCCGUGUACAGGGGGAUAACAGCUGGAAACGGCUGCUAAUACCGCAUAUGCGCACAGUGCCGCAUGGCACAGUGCGGGAAGCCUAGAUCUUAUCUAGUACGGUACACGAUGGGUCCGCGUCUGAUUAGGUAGUUGGCGGGGUAACGGCCCACCAAGCCCACGAUCAGUAGCCGGCCUGAGAGGGCGGACGGCCACACUGGGACUGAGACACGGCCCAGACUCCUGCGGGAGGCAGCAGUGGGGAAUAUUGCACAAUGGGGGGAACCCUGAUGCAGCGACGCCGCGUGAAGGAAGAAGUAUCUCGGUAUGUAAACUUCUAUCAGCAGGGAAGAAAGAGGACGGUACCUGACUAAGAAGCCCCGGCUAACUACGUGCCAGCAGCCGCGGUAAUACGUAGGGGGCGAGCGUU